Long non-coding RNA from Balaenoptera ricei (Rice's whale), 596 nucleotides. RefSeq lists it as uncharacterized. NCBI's taxonomy places the organism in Eukaryota, Metazoa, Chordata, Mammalia, Artiodactyla, Balaenopteridae. The record is from RefSeq and is a predicted model, not a curated record. The transcript is spliced from 6 exons.
ACCACGGAAGGGUGCCAGCUCUUCGGAGACACGUUCCUCAGACUGAAGGGGAAGGUUCCACAGUGAUGGAAAAGGAAAAUGAUUCAAAUUCCAGCUCUUUGCCAUCACCAUGAGAAGAAUAUACCCUGGCUACCUACUGGUUCCAAAAGGAGAAUGAAGAACACGUAACGCAGAACCACCCCAGCAAACCCAAAGACAUAACUGAUAAGGUCAUCUAGACUAAAGAAGAUUCCCAGUCUCCCUUCAAGCUAGUGCUCUUUGGAAAGAAGACAGUAUGAGUAGCUCCCACUUAAAGUGGAUGACCAUUUUCCUUCCUGAACCAAGAAGAGUGGGGCAAUCUGAUGGGAACUUUCUUAUCUCCUGCUUGGCCCAUUACUAGACCCCCAAAUUUAGAAACAAUAUCCAUAUCUACCCUUCUUUACUCACUUCUCUCCUGGUGUCUUCUCAGUGAUUUCCAGUAGUGCCGUCAGAAAUAAUCAUGUUGUGGACAUUAUUUAAAAUUGUCUUCGCAUGGUCCCCACCUGUGGAUAUCCAACAAUUUUUGAAAUCCAGCUCAAAUGUCACUAUCUCUCUUCUCUUGACACCCUCCACAUACC